RNAcentral lists this ribosomal RNA (426 nucleotides) under uncultured bacterium. Its description in RNAcentral is "bacterial SSU rRNA". It matches the Rfam family "Bacterial small subunit ribosomal RNA", at positions 355 to 772 of the family's 1533-position model. The record is from RNAcentral.
UGGGGAAUAUUGGACAAUGGGCGAAAGCCUGAUCCAGCGACGCCGCGUGAGUGAUGAAGGCCUUCGGGUUGUAAAGCUCUGUUGAGGGAGAAGAAAACAGUUAGAACUAAUAUGUCUAGCUCUUGACGGUAUCCCUUUAGAAAGCACCGGCUAACUCCGUGCCAGCAGCCGCGGUAAUACGGAGGGGGCUAGCGUUGUUCGGAAUUACUGGGCGUAAAGCGCGCGUAGGCGGCCUGACAAGUUGGAGGUGAAAGCCCGGAGCUCAACUUCGGAAUUGCCUUCAAGACUGUCUCGCUCGAGGCAGGGAGAGGAGAGCGGAAUACCCAGUGUAGAGGUGAAAUUCGUAGAUAUUGGGUGGAACACCGGUGGCGAAGGCGGCUCUCUGGCCCUGAUCUGACGCUAAGGCGCGAAAGCGUGGGGAGCAAA